AGUCAAGAGAGAAAUUCUUCACAAGAAAGGGGAAGGUGGUCUUGUUUAUUCCAGAAUGUGCCUCAGGAACUCUUUUUGCCCAGUUCUUCAUGUUGAAGUAUCCAGCAAAUCUUCCUUGAACACCAUCUUCUCAGACAGAACAUGCCUGAUCCCUCUGUCUGGAACAAGCUUCAGUUUUUAUUUGCAAUACAACCACCAGCCCGUUUGUUCUCUUCGUGACAUAAACAACAAUAUGUGAUUAUUUCUUGUGUUGGUUUUCUUUUCCUACCAGAAUAAAAAC
Molecule: long non-coding RNA, 280 nt
Filed under: Chinchilla lanigera (long-tailed chinchilla)
Lineage: Eukaryota; Metazoa; Chordata; Mammalia; Rodentia; Chinchillidae
Description: lncRNA (ENSCLAG00000023568.1)
Source: RNAcentral